RNAcentral lists this ribosomal RNA (254 nucleotides) under uncultured bacterium. Its description in RNAcentral is "partial 16S ribosomal RNA". It matches the Rfam family "Bacterial small subunit ribosomal RNA", at positions 524 to 776 of the family's 1533-position model. The record is from RNAcentral.
UACGGGGGGAGCAAGCGUUGUUCGGAUUUACUGGGCGUAAAGGGCGCGUAGGCGGCCACGACAAGUCACUUGUGAAAUCUCCGGGCUUAACUCGGAACGGUCAAGUGAUACUGUCGGGCUAGAGUGCAGAAGGGGCAACUGGAAUUCUCGGUGUAGCGGUGAAAUGCGUAGAUAUCGAGAGGAACACCUGCGGCGAAGGCGGGUUGCUGGGCUGAUACUGACGCUGAGGCGCGAAAGCCAGGGGAGCGAACAGG